GAGGGACUGGCAGAAGGGUAAUGCGUAGCUCUCCUAUGAUUGGACAAAGGUUUUCAUCCUUGUCGAAAGGAUGAAGUCCGGGACCAAGCUAAGCUAAGAUUGUGGGUUCGAGUCCCACGUUCCUCG
RNAcentral lists this transfer RNA (126 nucleotides) under Blastomyces percursus. It matches the Rfam family "tRNA". From Rfam's summary of the family: Transfer RNA (tRNA) molecules are approximately 80 nucleotides in length. Their secondary structure includes four short double-helical elements and three loops (D, anti-codon, and T loops). Lineage: Eukaryota; Fungi; Ascomycota; Eurotiomycetes; Onygenales; Ajellomycetaceae. The record is from Rfam by way of RNAcentral.